UGGCUUCAUACAUGAUUCUCUGAGUGGAUGGAUGUUUUUUAGUGCCUUGCAACUAAGGAUACUACCUCGCUGAGAUGAUACAUCCUACAGGGACAACUCAGAUCUUAGCCUGGGAGCAAAUUCAGCUCUCAGGCCCUUCAGAUGCUGUGCACCUAUUCCAUGGAUUGCUUCAGAACAUUAUUUGAAGCUGGAGCCAGGCAUGUCCAUUCUGCCUUCUGUAAAGUGGACUUGACAGUGUCGGGUCUCCUUCCCCAGAGUGCAGAGGGAGUCAGGACUCGGUUGGGUAAAGAACAAAGCAACCUCUGUUAAGAGCAAACCACAGCCUGAAGAAAGCAAAGGGCCACAUCUGACUCAUCCAGAUGACUCAUACCUGGGAUUUCUGGGCCUCAACUAGGCUUCCUGCAGCCUGUCGAAGCUUGCAAAGAGCUAUGAGGAGAUCUGAAAAAGAGAAAACUCUUGCAUGCUGUCUGUGUUGGGGGAAUGGAUCUACCCAUCUGGGUCCAGGGCAAGCUCCUUGCAAGUAGCCACUGAGUUUAUUAGCACUACACAGUCAGAUCGCCGAGGUUCCGGUUGGCAGCCAUGAAAAGACCACGUGAAGUUGCCCUUUUUGGUUUGGCCAGCUUUGGGUACUCUUUUUUACAUUGUUAAGUCUUGGGGAAGAGCAGCUAGCUUUGGUGUGCAAACGAAGGCAUCCCUGUCAAUGUUUGCGCAGAAUCAGAGCUGUUUGGGGAUGGUCUACCUUCAGGGACACACAGACCCUAGUGACAAUCAACUCUCCUGGUAAAUACAUCAUGUCGGGUUGCCACAGCUAUUACCUAUCUCUUUACAUUGAAAGCCAACUUACCGCAGUUAUCUCUGUUAAUCUUUGUGCUGUUAGAUUACCUUGUGAUCCAGCUCCUGAGGUUCUCGGGGAGAACUCGAUGCAAGCUCUUGCUUCAGGUGUCUGACAUUCCUCAGUGCUGAUCCACAGCCGUGACUCACUGAGUGAUUGGGACCACAGAGAAGCCAGUAUAUUUCCACUACUCCUAUUGGGGGGGGGGUCUUCAUACCCCAAGAGCAGACAAUUACCCAACUUCCACCCAUUAAAAUACAAGAAUUGGGCU
RNAcentral lists this long non-coding RNA (1103 nucleotides) under Mus musculus (house mouse). RNAcentral describes it as "long non-coding RNA chr8:115770860-115771963". The record is from RNAcentral. Lineage: Eukaryota; Metazoa; Chordata; Mammalia; Rodentia; Muridae.